AGCGAACGCUGGCGGCAGGCUUAACACAUGCAAGUCGAACGCAUCCUUCGGGGUGAGUGGCAGACGGGUGGGUAACGCGUGGGAACAUGCCCUUUGGUUCGGAAUAACUCAGGGAAACUUGAGCUAAUACCGGAUAAGCCCUUUUGGGGAAAGAUUUAUCGCCGAAGGAUUGGCCCGCGUCCGAUUAGCUAGUUGGUGAGGUAAUGGCUCACCAAGGCGACGAUCGGUAGCUGGUCUGAGAGGAUGAUCAGCCACACUGGGACUGAGACACGGCCCAGACUCCUACGGGAGGCAGCAGUGGGGAAUAUUGGACAAUGGGGGCAACCUUGAUCCAGCCAUGCCGCGUGAGUGAUGAAGGCCCUAGGGUUGUAAAGCUCUUUCGGCGGGGACGAUAAUGACGGUACCCGCAGAAGAAGCCCCGGCUAACUUCGUGCCAGCAGCCGCCGUAA
Molecule: ribosomal RNA, 449 nt
Filed under: uncultured bacterium
Lineage: Bacteria
Description: partial 16S ribosomal RNA
Rfam family: Bacterial small subunit ribosomal RNA
Source: RNAcentral